This 506-nucleotide ribosomal RNA is filed under the name uncultured bacterium. Its description in RNAcentral is "bacterial SSU rRNA". It matches the Rfam family "Bacterial small subunit ribosomal RNA", at positions 17 to 518 of the family's 1533-position model. The record is from RNAcentral.
UUCUGGCUCAGGAUGAACGCUGGCGGCGUGCCUAACACAUGCAAGUCGAACGGGGUUACUGGCAGCGGAGAUUCGGUCAAAGCAGCCUAUAACCGUAGGUGGCGGACGGGUGAGUAACGCGUGGGGAACCUGCCCUGUACUGGGGGGAUAACAGUGAGAAAUCACUGCUAAUACCGCAUAAGCGCACAGCAUCGCAUGAUGCAGUGUGAAAAACUGAGGUGGUACAGGAUGGCUCCGCGUUGGAUUAGCCAGUUGGCGGGGUAACGGCCCACCAAAGCGACGAUCCAUAGCCGGCCUGAGAGGGUGAACGGCCACAUUGGGACUGAGACACAGCCCAGACUCCUACGGGAGGCAGCAGUGGGGAAUAUUGCACAAUGGGGGAAACCCUGAUGCAAGCGACGCCGCGUGAAGGAAGAAGUAUCUCGGUAUGGUAAACUUCUAUCAGCAGGGAAGAUGAUGACGGUACCUGACUAAGAAGCCCCGGCUAACUACGUGCCAGCCGCGGC